This 1251-nucleotide ribosomal RNA is filed under the name Triticum aestivum (bread wheat). Its description in RNAcentral is "partial small subunit ribosomal RNA". The record is from RNAcentral. Lineage: Eukaryota; Viridiplantae; Streptophyta; Magnoliopsida; Poales; Poaceae.
AUGGAGCUCAGCGUCGCCGCCGUAGCCGUGGAGCUCGGCAAGCGGGGCCGCCCCGACGACCAGGACCAGGACCACGGGGAUGCCAAGCGGCUGGCGCUCGUGCCGUGGCCGCCGCACCAGCAGCACCCCUCCUCGCGGAUCUACCGCGUCUCGCGCGGCUCCGGCGGCAAGGACCGCCACAGCAAGGUCUACACGGCCAAGGGCAUCCGCGACCGCCGCGUCCGCCUCUCCGUCGCCACCGCCAUCCAGUUCUACGACCUGCAGGAUCGCCUUGGCUACGACCAGCCCAGCAAGGCCGUCGAGUGGCUCAUCAAGGCUGCCGCCGCCGCAAUCGACAAGCUCCCCGAGCUCGACGCCGCCGCCUUCCCCAACCACCCGGCCUCAGCCAACAAACAGUCUUCUGCUCUUCACGCGGAGGUCGACGGCUCGCAGCUCCAGCAGCAGCAGCUCACCAGAUCGGGCUGCAGCAGCACGUCCGAGACCAGCAAGGGCUCCGUCCUCUCGCUCUCUCGCUCCGACAGCCGCGUCAAGGCCAGGGAGCGCGCGCGCGACCGCAGCGCCUCUGUGAAGGACAAGGACGACUCGGUCACUGCCGCCGUGCGCGGCCGCGCCCCGUCGGCGCAGGCGGCUUCCUUCACCGAGCUCCUCACUGGAUUGGCGGCCGCCACCCCAGCUGUUGCUCAGCACAAGCAGCACAACUCGUGGCAGCAGAUGACCGCGUCUGCCACCGCGGACUACCUCGGCUUCUCCCAGCCCCGGAAAUCCGGGCACGGGAUGCUGCACACCUUCGCCUCCCCGGCCCCGCACCUGGGCAACAUUGCGCCCGUCGCCAUGGCCCCAGCGCAGCACUUCAGCUUAUCAGCCGGCGGCGGCGAUUCGCAGACGGAGAUGCCGCACUUCUCCUUCUCGCACGACCACUACAUGCCCGUCCAUGCGGCGCCAGCGUCGGGUCCGGCAGUAGACUACAGUCUCAACUUCUCCAUGUCCUCGGGUCUUGUGGGUGUCAACAACACUAGGGGGACCCUUCAGUCCAAUUCGCAGCCGCACCUCUCCGGCCACCACCACCACCACCACCAGCAGCUCCAGAGGCUGUCUACUCCACUGGAUGCUCCGCACAUACCCUUCUUGUUCAGCCCAGCCGUCGCGGUGGCCUCCCCCACCACAGCGGAGAGCCACUUCGGCGCGGCGGCCGCAUUGCAGCUCUGGGAGGGGUUCCGGCACUCCGACAUGAAGGAGAAGGGCAAGAACUGA